Molecule: long non-coding RNA, 543 nt
Organism: Magnolia sinica
Lineage: Eukaryota; Viridiplantae; Streptophyta; Magnoliopsida; Magnoliales; Magnoliaceae
Exons: 3
Source: RefSeq, a predicted model, not a curated record
CUCAAACCCUCUCUCCCCAAACUAUAAUCUCUCAUUCUCCCUCUGGCUGCGCCCCAAACCCGCAAACCUUUAUCUCUCGUUCUCCCUCUGGUUGCGCCCUAAAGCCCCAAACGCUCUCUCUCUCUCUCUCAUAGAUCUCUCGAUCCCUCUCCUUCAUUUCUCCAUAUCUCUUGAUCUUCGUCCAGUUCGAUCUGCCCUUUGAUUCAGCUCAUCAUCAUAUCCGAUCUAAACCGUCAAGUUCUUGAUGAUUCACAAUGGACUCAGUCAUGAAUACCUUCUCCUCAAGAACUCAGUUGAGUUGCUUCAAUGAUGCUGAGGAUGAAGGAGGUGGUGUUCUGGGGACAACAUGCGAGAAUGGAACAAGUCUUGAGCUUGUAAGCGUUCUAGAGGCAUCUCCUGCUCACUUGGAAAUCACAUGAUCAACCUUUGGGGAGGUUGCUGCUGUGUUCUGUAAAUCCCUGAGGCUUACACAUGAGGGUUGCAUAAAGUUUGCAUCUGGGAAAAUAACCAACUUGAUGACAACGGAUGCUGAAGCACUACAGG